UACGUAGGGACCAAGCGUUGUUCGGAUUUACUGGGCGUAAAGGGCGCGUAGGCGGCAAUUCAAGUCAUCUGUGAAAUCUCCGGGCUUAACUCGGAACGGUCAACUGAUACUGUGCGACUAGAGUGCAGAAGGGGCAACUGGAAUUCUCGGUGUAGCGGUGAAAUGCGUAGAUAUCGAGAGGAACACCUGCGGCGAAGGCGGGUUGCUGGGCUGACACUGACGCUGAGGCGCGAAAGCCAGGGGAGCGAACGGG
RNAcentral lists this ribosomal RNA (253 nucleotides) under uncultured bacterium. RNAcentral's name for it is "partial 16S ribosomal RNA". It matches the Rfam family "Bacterial small subunit ribosomal RNA", at positions 524 to 776 of the family's 1533-position model. The record is from RNAcentral.